UAGGCAGUUAUAAACAUACUCCUUGGAAGAAUUUUAGCAGUACUGUAUUCACUAUCAAGUGGAUACUCAAGUCUCGGUAACUACUGUGAGUGAAAACUCAAUCCAGUCAACUCAAUCAUUGUUGUAGGAAAGCAUGUUUGUUUGAAGACGCAUCUGUGAAGGCCAGACAAUUACCUGACUUACUAAAGCAAGAGUGAAACUCCGAGAAAUGUUAGCACAAGUCACAGUGAUUUAAUAUUUCAAACUAGAUUUGUUCAACGGCAUAAUUCAUACUAAUUUAGCUUGGUACCAUCGGACAAGAAAACACCUGUAACACAAAUGGUUCUUGAAUAUUGUUUUAUAUAAUAACUCUUGUAAUAGGACUAUAUUACGAAAAAAAUGCUUAUUUAAACCGGACUUUAAAAGCAAAGAACUGUAGAAUAGCCUUGAAUUUGAGGUACAUAUGUUUAGCAGUAAGACAUUAGCAAAACGAUAAUAUAUGAAGGGGUAUGCUAGUAAAUGAGAUCCUAGGGAAGUAAUGUCCCUACCGUAUGAUGUUUGUUAAAUUAAAGAAAUUAUGGUUUGUA
Anneissia japonica is the source of this 566-nucleotide long non-coding RNA. RefSeq lists it as uncharacterized. The record is from RefSeq and is a predicted model, not a curated record. NCBI's taxonomy places the organism in Eukaryota, Metazoa, Echinodermata, Crinoidea, Comatulida, Comatulidae. The transcript is spliced from 3 exons.